This 429-nucleotide ribosomal RNA is filed under the name Chloroflexota bacterium. Its description in RNAcentral is "Chloroflexi bacterium partial 16S ribosomal RNA". It matches the Rfam family "Bacterial small subunit ribosomal RNA", at positions 355 to 776 of the family's 1533-position model. The record is from RNAcentral. Lineage: Bacteria; Bacillati; Chloroflexota.
UGGGGAAUAUUGCACAAUGGGCGCAAGCCUGAUGCAGCCAUGCCGCGUGUGUGAAGAAGGCCUUCGGGUUGUAAAGCACUUUCAGCGGGGAGGAAGGCGGUGAGGUUAAUAACCUUGUCGAUUGACGUUACCCGCAGAAGAAGCACCGGCUAACUCCGUGCCAGCAGCCGCGGUAAUACGGAGGGUGCAAGCGUUAAUCGGAAUUACUGGGCGUAAAGCGCACGCAGGCGGUCUGUCAAGUCGGAUGUGAAAUCCCCGGGCUUAACCUGGGAACUGCAUUCGAAACUGGCAGGCUAGAGUCUUGUAGAGGAGGGUAGAAUUCCAGGUGUAGCGGUGAAAUGCGUAGAGAUCUGGAGGAAUACCGGUGGCGAAGGCGGCCCCCUGGACAAAGACUGACGCUCAGGUGCGAAAGCGUGGGGAGCAAACAGG